Hibiscus syriacus is the source of this 530-nucleotide long non-coding RNA. RefSeq lists it as uncharacterized. The record is from RefSeq and is a predicted model, not a curated record. Lineage: Eukaryota; Viridiplantae; Streptophyta; Magnoliopsida; Malvales; Malvaceae. The transcript has 2 exons.
AAAAUACUUCUAAACACCCUCUCUUCUCUCUAAAAAAUCUCUACCAUUUUAUAGAACUCCGGUCCUCUUCCCCGACGAGCCGUCGCCGCCUUGCCGCUACUCAAGCCACCCCUCCGGCCAUCAUGGAUGGUGGCUAGAGAACGAUGACCUAGCCCAUCCAAAAGCCCUCACUGCCUUGAACCUAAAUCUACCCACUAAAAUCCCAAAAGGAGGCCUUCACCAUAUAUAUAAACCGAAAGUUCACUCCCUUUACCUUUCAUCCAGUGUCCCUUUGAUUUCCAAGCAGUCUUUCGAGCUCCCGACGGUGUCUCUUCUCCCAUGACAAUGAAAGCUUUCGAAUCUAAGAAUUUAUAGUGCAUGUGGAGGAUUUCUGUCCUUCGAAAAUUAAAGGAUUAAUUCACAUAAUCCAAGGGAAUGAUUUUGAUUUAUUUCUCUUUUCAUUCGAUUUGUCUCUAAUAUGGUGAUUUGUCUCCUUUUUAGUUCGAUUUUUGUUGACUGUUUCAUUUCCCUUAAUUUGGUUUUUGCUUUGA